Molecule: long non-coding RNA, 970 nt
Organism: Oncorhynchus keta (chum salmon)
Lineage: Eukaryota; Metazoa; Chordata; Actinopteri; Salmoniformes; Salmonidae
Exons: 2
Source: RefSeq, a predicted model, not a curated record
CACACAGUGUUCGGGUGUAGUUCGUAACGGUUGAAGUGUGUAUGUUAGGAUGGUAACGUUAUAAUUCCUGCAUGAGUAGCAGAAAGUUGAAAUUGGGCAUGCUAUUUAUCCAAAAGUGAAAAUGCUGCCCUCUAUACCGUAAGAAGUUAAGGAUGAAGCGUGAAUUCAUGACAGGAAUAAGACGUGUGAAGUUUGGGAUAUCCUCCCUUCUACAAUAAGCAGCCAACAAGAGGACCUGAGCCCUAGGACCAUGCCUCAGGACUACCUGACAUGAUGCUCCAGUUUAAACUGUUCUGCCUUAUUAUUAUUUGACCAUGCUGGUCAUUUAUGAACAUUUGAACAUCUUGGCCAUGUUCUGUUAUAAUCUUCACCCGGCACAGCCAGAAGAGGACUGGCCACCCAACAUAGCCUGGUUCCUCUCUAGGUUUCUUCCAAGGUUUUGGACUUUCUAGGGAGUUGUUCCAAGCCACCGUGCUUCUACACCUGCAUUGCUUGCUGUUUGGGGUUUUAGGCUGGGUUUCUGUACAUCACUUUGAGAUAUCAGCUGAUGUACGGGCUAUAUAAAUACAUUUGAUUUGAUUUGAUUUUGAUUUAACUAAACAGAAUACUACUCUGUUACUGUAGGAAUGUAUGAAUCUUAUUAUAAUCAUAAUACUGAAUAUAAUGUGUGUAGUUUUAGUCAAGAAUUAGAACAAUGACUUUCUGUUCCUUGGUAUAAACGAAUGGAGCUAUCGUCAGACUGGCUGGAAUACUUUGUUCCUUACAGGACAUUCUGUCCCUACCCAGGGAGGAGAGAGACCUUGGGCUUGUAGUAUAUUGUUUAACAGGUGGAUGUGAGAAGGCUUGUGAACUAUAUUGCCAUUGUAUCUGAGAGACAUUUAUUACGAAAUGUGAGGUAUAUAAACCAAUGUACAUGGUAUUAUGACCAGAGCUCUCAGGAAAUAAACGCUACUGAUCUUUGUCUAUUUUA